AUAAGAAACUUUAUUAGGCCCAUCAGUGAAAGAGAACCUUUUGCUAUAAACCAUCCAAUUGACGGGAACACCUUAAAGCUAUUUCAACUAAAUGUAUUAGGUAACUAAAUACAUGGCCCAGGUAAUGACUCGGGGUAUAGUAAAAUCGAAAUAGAUGUAUGAAAAGAAAUAGGCGACCCGCAGCCAAGUACCUAUUAUCUUAGGUAUGCAGUUCAUCGACUAAACGGUGGUUGGCAUAAAAUUUUUUCAAUUUUAUGCUUAAGAUAUAGUCAGACCCUGCUUGAGAAAGUACA
Stemphylium lycopersici is the source of this 293-nucleotide non-coding RNA. The record is from Rfam. NCBI's taxonomy places the organism in Eukaryota, Fungi, Ascomycota, Dothideomycetes, Pleosporales, Pleosporaceae.